UCUUGGUCAUUUAGAGGAAGUAAAAGUCGUAACAAGGUUUCCGUAGGUGAACCUGCGGAGGAUCAUUACAGAAUUGUCAAACGGGUUGUUGCUGGCCCUCAAUGGGGGCAUGUGCACGCUCUGUUUACACAUCCACUCACACCUGUGCACUCUCAGUAGUUCUGUGGUCUGGGGGACCCUGUCUCCCUUCCAUGGUCCUACGUCUUUACACACACACACUGUAACAAGUCCUAUGGAAUGUACGUCGCGUCUAACGCAAUACAAUACAACUUUCAGCAACGGAUCUCUUGGCUCUCGCAUCGAUGAAGAACGCAGCGAAAUGCGAUAAGUAAUGUGAAUUGCAGAAUUCAGUGAAUCAUCGAAUCUUUGAACGCACCUUGCGCCCCUUGGCUAUUCCGAGGGGCAUGCCUGUUUGAGUAUCUUGAACACCUCAACUCUCAUGGUUUGCCAUGAUGAGCUUGGACCCUGGGGGUUUGCUGGCCUGUAGUCAGCUCCUCUCAAAUGAAUCAGCCUCCAAGUGUUUGGUGGCAUCACGGGUGUGAUAACUAUCUACGCUCGCUGUUGUCUGCCAGGUAACCUUUGGUGACAAAGGUUCGCUGGAGCUCACAGAUGUCUCUCCUCAGCGAGGACAGCUUUUUGAACGUUCGAUCUCAAAUCAGGUAGGACUACCCGCUGAACUUAAGCAUAUCAAUAAGCGGAGGAAA
This 704-nucleotide ribosomal RNA is filed under the name uncultured Thelephora. Its description in RNAcentral is "eukaryotic LSU rRNA". The stretch from base 268 to 422 matches the Rfam family "5.8S ribosomal RNA". Lineage: Eukaryota; Fungi; Basidiomycota; Agaricomycetes; Thelephorales; Thelephoraceae. The record is from RNAcentral.